This 1398-nucleotide ribosomal RNA is filed under the name uncultured bacterium. RNAcentral's name for it is "16S ribosomal RNA". It matches the Rfam family "Bacterial small subunit ribosomal RNA". The record is from RNAcentral.
UAGAGUUUGAUCCUGGCUCAGGAUGAACGCUAGCUACAGGCUUAACACAUGCAAGUCGAGGGGCAGCUGGGAGUAGCAAUAUCCCGCAGGCGACCGGCGAAUGGGUGAGUAACGCGUAUCCAACCUGGCCCUUACACGGGGAUAGCCCUUAGAAAUGAGGAUUAAUACCCGGCGGUGUGGCAUGACCGCAUGGGAAAGCCACUGAAGAUUUAUCGGUAAGGGAUGGGGAUGCGUCCGAUUAGGCAGUUGGCGGGGUAACGGCCCACCAAACCGACGAUCGGUAGGGGUUCUGAGAGGAAGGUCCCCCACAUUGGUACUGAGACACGGACCAAACUCCUACGGGAGGCAGCAGUGAGGAAUAUUGGUCAAUGGGCGAGAGCCUGAACCAGCCAAGUAGCGUGAAGGAUGACGGCCCUAUGGGUUGUAAACUUCUUUUGUCGGGGGAUAAAGUCGCUCACGCGUUGGGCGUUUGCAGGUACCCGAUGAAUAAGGACCGGCUAAUUCCGUGCCAGCAGCCGCGGUAAUACGGAAGGUCCGAGCGUUAUCCGGAUUUAUUGGGUUUAAAGGGAGCGUAGGUGGAAGCGUAAGUCAGCCGUCAAAUAUCGGAGCUCAACUCCGUCCAGCGGUUGAUACUGCGUUUCUUGAGUGCACAAGAGGCAGGUGGAAUUCGAGGUGUAGCGGUGAAAUGCUUAGAUAUCUCGAAGAACUCCGAUUGCGAAGGCAGCCUGCUGGGGUGUAACUGACACUGAGGCUCGAAGGUGCGGGUAUCAAACAGGAUUAGAUACCCUGGUAGUCCGCACAGUAAACUAUGGAUGCUCGCGGUGCGCGCGUUGGUGUACGCCGCCUAGCGAAAGCGUUAAGCAUCCCACCUGGGGAGUACGCCGGCAACGGUGAAACUCAAAGGAAUUGACGGGGGCCCGCACAAGCGGAGGAACAUGUGGUUUAAUUCGAUGAUACGUGAGGAACCUUACCCGGGCUCGAACGGUGCAGGAAGAGAUCCAGAGAUGGUGACGUCCCUUCGGGGACCUGUAUCGAGGUGCUGCAUGGUUGUCGUCAGCUCGUGUCGUGAGAUGUUGGCUCAAGUGCCAUAACGAGCGCAACCCUUGCUGUCAGUUACCAGCACGUAGUGGUGGGGACUCUGACAGGACUGCCACCGUAAGGUGUGAGGAAGGCGGGGAUGACGUCAAAUCAGCACGGCCCUUACGUCCGGGGCGACACACGUGUUACAAUGACAGCUACAGAGGGAAGCUACCUGGUGACAGGAUGCAGAUCUCGAAAAGCUGCCUCAGUUCGGACUGGAGUCUGCAACCCGACUCCACGAAGCUGGAUUCGCUAGUAAUCGCGCAUCAGCCAUGGCGCGGUGAAUACGUUCCCGGGCCUUGUACACACCGCCCGUCA